GACGAACGCUGGCGGCGUGCUUAACACAUGCAAGUCGAACGGAAAGGCCCUGCUUUUGUGGGGUGCUCGAGUGGCGAACGGGUGAGUAACACGUGAGUAACCUGCCCUUGACUUUGGGAUAACUUCAGGAAACUGGGGCUAAUACCGGAUAGGAGCUCCUGCUGCAUGGUGGGGGUUGGAAAGUUUCGGCGGUUGGGGAUGGACUCGCGGCUUAUCAGCUUGUUGGUGGGGUAGUGGCUUACCAAGGCUUUGACGGGUAGCCGGCCUGAGAGGGUGACCGGCCACAUUGGGACUGAGAUACGGCCCAGACUCCUACGGGAGGCAGCAGUGGGGAAUAUUGCACAAUGGGCGGAAGCCUGAUGCAGCAACGCCGCAUGCGGGAUGACGGCCUUCGGGUUGUAAACCGCUUUCGCCUGUGACGAAGCGUGAGUGACGGUAAUGGGUAAAGAAGCACCGGCUAACUACGUGCCAGCAGCCGCGGUGAUACGUAGGGUGCGAGCGUUGUCCGGAUUUAUUGGGCGUAAAGGGCUCGUAGGUGGUUGAUCGCGUCGGAAGUGUAAUCUUGGGGCUUAACCCUGAGCGUGCUUUCGAUACGGGUUGACUUGAGGGAGGUAGGGGAGAAUGGAAUUCCUGGUGGAGCGGUGGAAUGCGCAGAUAUCAGGAGGAACACCAGUGGCGAAGGCGGUUCUCUGGGCCUUUCCUGACGCUGAGGAGCGAAAGCGUGGGGAGCGAACAGGCUUAGAUACCCUGGUAGUCCACGCUGUAAACGGUGGGUACUAGGUGUGGGGUCCAUUCCACGGGUUCCGUGCCGUAGCUAACGCUUUAAGUACCCCGCCUGGGGAGUACGGCCGCAAGGCUAAAACUCAAAGGAAUUGACGGGGCCCCGCACAAGCGGCGGAGCAUGCGGAUUAAUUCGAUGCAACGCGUAGAACCUUACCUGGGUUUGACAUGGAUCGGGAGCGCUCAGAGAUGGGUGUGCCUCUUUUGGGGUCGGUUCACAGGUGGUGCAUGGCUGUCGUCAGCUCGUGUCGUGAGAUGUUGGGUUAAGUCCCGCAACGAGCGCAACCCUUGUUCACUGUUGCCAGCACGUUAUGGUGGGGACUCAGUGGAGACCGCCGGGGUCAACUCGGAGGAAGGUGGGGAUGACGUCAAGUCAUCAUGCCCCUUAUGUCCAGGGCUUCACGCAUGCUACAAUGGCUGGUACAGAGAGUGGCGAGCCUGUGAGGGUGAGCGAAUCUCGGAAAGCCGGUCUCAGUUCGGAUUGGGGUCUGCAACUCGACCUCAUGAAGUCGGAGUCGCUAGUAAUCGCAGAUCAGCAACGCUGCGGUGAAUACGUUCCCGGG
This 1343-nucleotide ribosomal RNA is filed under the name uncultured bacterium. RNAcentral's name for it is "16S ribosomal RNA". It matches the Rfam family "Bacterial small subunit ribosomal RNA", at positions 28 to 1378 of the family's 1533-position model. The record is from RNAcentral.